Molecule: unclassified non-coding RNA, 313 nt
Filed under: plant metagenome
Description: partial contains 5.8S ribosomal RNA, internal transcribed spacer 2, and large subunit ribosomal RNA
Rfam family: 5.8S ribosomal RNA (bases 1-105)
Source: RNAcentral
GAAAUGCGAUAAGUAGUGUGAAUUGCAGAAUUUAGCGAAUCAUCGAAUCUUUGAACGCACAUUGCGCCCCUUGGUAUUCCAUGGGGCAUGCCUGUUCGAGCGUCAUUUGUACCCUCAAGCUUUGCUUGGUGUUGGGCGUUUUUUGUCUUUGGCUCGCCCAAAGACUCGCCUUAAAACGAUUGGCAGCCGGCCUACUGGUUUCGCAGCGCAGCACAUUUUUGCGCUUGCAAUCAGCAAAAGAGGACGGCAAUCCAUCAAGACUCCUUCUCAUGUUUGACCUCGGAUCAGGUAGGGAUACCCGCUGAACUUAAGC